This 255-nucleotide ribosomal RNA is filed under the name uncultured bacterium. RNAcentral's name for it is "partial 16S ribosomal RNA". It matches the Rfam family "Bacterial small subunit ribosomal RNA", at positions 524 to 776 of the family's 1533-position model. The record is from RNAcentral.
UACGAAGGGGGCUAGCGUUGUUCGGAUUUACUGGGCGUAAAGCGCACGUAGGCGGACUUUUAAGUCAGGGGUGAAAUCCCAGAGCUCAACUCUGGAACUGCCUUUGAUACUGGAAGUCUUGAGUAUGGUAGAGGUGAGUGGAAUUCCGAGUGUAGAGGUGAAAAUUCGUAGAUAUUCGGAGGAACACCAGUGGCGAAGGCGGCUCACUGGACCAUUACUGACGCUGAGGUGCGAAAGCGUGGGGGAGCAAACAGG